Molecule: long non-coding RNA, 31844 nt
Filed under: Coffea arabica (coffee)
Lineage: Eukaryota; Viridiplantae; Streptophyta; Magnoliopsida; Gentianales; Rubiaceae
Description: long non-coding RNA (CARA_LNC000386)
Source: RNAcentral
GUACUUUUUGUGAUGUGAUGUAUGGGAGGAUAAAAAGGUAAUUGAGAAUAUAAGAAGAUGUAUUGAAAAUUGUAAUAAUAAUGUAAGCAAAUAUAUUUGAAAAAAUAAUCAACUGUUCAAACAAACCCGUUGUUGGACCAUACCGCAGCGAUCAAACUAACACUGUGUAAGGCUAGGGAGAAGCUCUGGCAGCAGUUAAAGUGCAAGUGUCAUCUCCUCAGUUGAUACGUUACUUGAGGACGAAUAAAGCACAAGACAUAAGACAUUUUGCCGAGUUGGAAGACAUUCAAAUGCUAAGAUCUUUAUUUAUGAAAUGCACAUUUAGCUUGAUGUAAUAUGAUAAGUAGAAGAUUUAGUAUUUAUGUUAUUAAGUUAGCGCAAUAUGAGGAAUAUUUAAAUUCUCAGUGUCCUAGGACACUUUUGUAAAACUCAAAAUGGAUCUUUUGCUCAAGUUGUAUAGCUUGUUUUUGAUAUCAACAAAUAUUUAUGACGUAUUUAAAUAGCUUGCGAGAAAGGAACUCCAUAAAUUAUCGAGAGGCAAUAGAUUAAUUUGUCGGGCUCCCUCGUGCCUACCCCACUAGGCCUUUUAUUUUAGGUUCCACCUUUAAUUUCGCAUCAUCGUCAUUAACGUUAAUCUCACAUAUUUUUAGUGGGUGUUUGGCGUGCAAAAGAUCUGCUGGUUUCACAUAGUUAACUUUAUUGAGCAAGAUCAAGAGAAAAUAAAUACUGUAACCUAGUUCACUCCGUACAAAUAAAGUAGCGGGGCAUCGAGGACUGCAGGCCGAUAAAGGAAAAGCAUGGAAGUAGCACAGUUGCAGAAACGAUUUCUGGAGUUGAUAUCAACCGUUUAUCAAGAGGUGAGUUGCUUUUACGGAUUUUAUUAAUUGGAUUUAACUUAUUUGAUCUUGAUUAGAGGUUUUUCCUUUUUCAUUUGAUUUGGCGUUAUUCGUUUGAUUGUCUUGGGGAAAAAAGGGGUUUUUGGAUGAUCAGUUCGUACAGCUUCAGAAACUGCAAGAUGAGAGCAACCCGGAUUUUGUGGUUGAAGUGGUGUCCCUCUUCUUUGAGGAUUCUGAGAAGCUUCUCAACAAUGUGGCGACUGCCCUGUAAGCUAUCUUUACAUUUGCUGAUUAGUCCUUUCAAGAUUAUCUAUUAAUAGCAUGUUAAUAGUCUUUUUAUUCGGUUGAUUUUUGAGUUGCGGUUUAAUUUGGUUUUUUCAAUGGCACAGUCAACAACCAAUUGUGGAUUUUAAGCAGGUCGAUGCUUAUGUCCACCAAUUCAAGGGUAGCAGUUCUAGGUAAAAAAAAAAAAAAGAUACUAAAAGUUUUCCUUUUUGUUGGUUUUCUUCCCUUACUUUUAAUUUUCUUAGUUCUUUACCUCCAUAUAUGCUUCUGGCUGGCUAGUAGAAUAGAACCGAAAAAUACGGACCACUUCUUUGUAAUUAGGUUAUAUUCCACGUCUUUGCUCUAGCUAAUUUUGAACUCCACUAAAUUGACUUCAGGAUUAACAUCUACUGACGCAAAUUACUAUGCAUUUUUUGAUGAUUAGUCUUCUGUCGUGGAAAAAUUCGAAUAUAUGACAAGGGAUUAUGUCUCUUCUAACAGCAUAGGUGCACAGAGAGUGAAGAAUGCAUGUGGUGCUUUUAGAAAUUUUUGUGAGGAAAAGAACCUGGAUGGGUGAGUUUUGAAUUGGCAGCUUGGCCUUGCUGUAUAGUGUUGUUGAAGUGACUGAGCACCUUGUAUGCAGGUGUUUGAAAUGUCUACAACAUGUGAAAAAUGAAUACGCUCUUGUGAAGAGCAAGCUUGAAUAUUUAUUUAUGGUAAGCGUUUGUCUUGAAGGAAUUUUUAUACACGAGGCUUGGUUAUAUUCUUCAAGCAUAUUUCAGUAGUAAUGUUGCUUAGUGGUUAAAAAUAUUGAAGGCAAUUUUGUCUAAAAUUCAACAGCAUUCUCUUUCAAAUUCAUUAUGCUGAUUACCCUCCUGUAAAAAACGAAUUAAAAGAAUGAAUAAGAUUGUUAAAGGUAGUAUGCUGAAAGGGAAUAUAGAAAGGCAAAAGCUUUUGACAUUCUCGUUUCUUUCACUCUCAUUUUGCGUCAUCCUUGGAUAUGGUUUAUGUGGUUCCUCAACCACUAACGAAAUGCAUAUUACCCACUUUACCUUUUAAUGCAACUGCUUGUCACCCGUAGUCAUAUUGAAUAAUCUAUUCUACUAUCUCUUUUGUUCAGCUGGAGCAACAAAUAGUGGCAGCUGGUGGCAUGAUACCCGUAAUUCCAUAAGUAUCUCCAUUUAGCCUACUCGCAAAAAGGGUAAGCUGCGUUGUCAUGUAAUCUGGCCCCCUGGUUAGAGGUUGAUAAGGAAGGUGCCCUGACUGUCAGACAGAGAUAAAUUGCUUCAGAAAUUAGAAAUUCUAUCAGCAAUGGAUUCUGCUUUUUGCCCAAAAAAGAAAAAAAAAACUGGAUUCUGCUUUCUAAUGUUCCACUGAAAUGUUUUUUUUUAAGUAAGCUUUUGAUGUUCCAUUUUCCCUUCGUUACACUCAUAUCGUGCAUUGAUUGUUUGAUCACUUGGCUAAGAGUUGCUGAGAGUUUUGUAUAGUGCCAAAUUACUUUUUAUUAAGAAGAUGAUUGGCAUUUUGUUUGGAAAUGAUCAUCCUGUUUGUUCUCUUAGUUUAGGACAGCAUCAAUUUUGAGGGCGGAGGUACACCUUUGCGAUUAAUCUUAUUGAAGCAAAUGUCUGGUUCAGGUGUUAGUCAAUUUAAGUGCUGUACUAAUCUGGUUUAAGAAAUUGUCAUUCGACGAGUAACAUAGAGGAAGGCUAAAAGAAUAGCAGGUUUAACUUCUGCCGUCACCACAUUCAAUUUCCAGAAGAUUUAACAAUAAAGCCGUGUGGCAUGCUGCUCUGCAGAUUGCGUUUCCUAGCUCCAUUGCCUUUUUAUGCUGCUGGCAUCCUUCUAUGAUGGAAGUUCGGCAUGGCACUUUUGUUGGUGUAGCUGGAAGUAUGAACCUGGUUAUGCUUUGCUUUUGUGAAUUUGGCUUGCCUUAGUUCUUGCAUUUUCCCUCUUUCCUCAUGGGCGCUGAAGAAAGGCCUAGGACUACAAUGUGAAGACAAAACCUACAUCUUCUUAUUGAUCGCAUCUUCAGAAAAUGGAAUGUGCCGACCUCUGCUGGGAGCUGUUACUUUGUUGCGAUAAGUCUGUCAUUACAUAUUUCUUGGCCUGCCUUAGUUUGUGUUGCUCUUUUAAAUUUCUAUGGCAUAAGUUCAUUUCAUUAUAGUGAAAAUAUACUCACUCACCCAAAAAUGGCAGCUCAAAGUGGAAGCUAAGGUUGUGUUUGGAUUGCAUAUUCCGUCAUUUUUCAUGGAAAAAUUACUGUAGCGAUUUGAUAUAUGUGAGGGAAAAAGGCGAUAGGGAAAUGUGAUCACGGAAAACGAUAAUAUUUUUCGACAGAAACAAGCAAUCCAAACAAGGCUUUUGCGCGGUUAGUGCUUCCCUUGAUGGAAACCAGUAAUUAUAGUUUGUUUGAUUUUGUUGAAUUGGCAACAAGGCUUUGGGGGAAUUGCGAAAGUGACGUUUUUUCAACCUUUUGUGAUUGUGACGACAUGGUUAACCCCUUCUUCCUGGAAGUACCCAACUAACAUUUUGUAAUUGUGACGACCGUUGCUUCGUCAAUAAGAUUGUGCCUUCUCCAAGGGGGAGAUGAUUCUUUCUUUUCCAGUCGGUGCGUCCAGCCUCUCGAGUAGAACGUUCCCAUGUUUCCAAAGCCCGAGAGAAGCCUAAAACUGGGUCCUUUUUUUUUGUUUCAGAAGGUUAAAUUCACCGCCACCGGACGUAUGAUAGAGAAUAGGGAGGAAGUCACAUGCUGCUGCUGUAUAUCCUCCUCGGCUCUUGCUCAUGGUUUUUAACCGUGAGGAUUUUCAGUCUGGAAUUGUUGUCUCUUCACCGUCACCAUCCAUCAUCAUCAUGUUGAGAUUUCUCCUCCCAUAAAAAUGAAAAGUUUUUGCCUGUGGAUUCUGGUAGUCAAGUCGCAUGCAAGAGCUGUUUGGCAAAACAGAUACUACUGCCGCCACUACUACUACCAGUACCAGUACCACUGAGGUGAGGUGCGUUGUCCCGCAGUUGUAUUGUACGUCACAACUAACCUCUCUUACGGUUACGGACGGACUCCUUUGGUGCUUCAUAUUCUAUGUAUGUGGAUCUAUUGUUGUUGGGCCCGGAAAAGGAGGUUCGCCAAUUGGCAAGUACUACAGGAGGACCACCAAAAUUUGGUCCCCAAGCCCCGAAGAUUAAGAAUAAUAGGUUUGUUUGGAUUGAGCAUUAUUUACCCAAUUUUAUUUGUUUAAAUCAUCAUUACAAUUUUCAAUACACCUUUUUACCUUUCCAAUUACCUUUUUAUCUCACAUACAUCACAUCACAAAAAGUGCUACAGUAAAAAUAUUCCAAAUAAUCCCAAAUAACUUACAAUCCAAACAAACCUAAUGUGAUGCUACCAGACCGCAUCGCUGAUUGGACCUCAAUGUUACCACUUGCCAAUCCCAUUUUCGUAGAGAUAGAUGGAUCUCAAUUGGAUGCUUGGCGGCCGUCUGCAAAAUGUAAAACCGCUUGCGGCCCCGUUAAUUGGGGACCGACUUUGCUCACGAUCAGUAACGCUGAUUACCCGCUCAAGAAUGAAGAAUUGCUCACGAUGCAUCAACUACAAUUUUUUCCUCUUAAUUAAAUUAAUAGUCGUUCGUGUGUAUUUAUUUCUAAAAGUUGAGUAUGCCUUGGGGAAAAGGAAACUUUGGAGGACUUUGGGCUCUUUGACCCAUGCUAUUAUUAUCUACUAUCUUAUAAAGUCCAUGUCGUUGCGUGAAUGAGAAGGUUUCGUGCUUGAACUCAACGGCAACGCUGCAAGCAAUAAGAUGAAUGUUAAAAGAAUUGGGACCAUAUAUUAUAGGAUGGCAAACCAUUUGACGGAUGGUUACUUCAGUACUACUAACUAAGAGUAAAGUUUUAGGUUCCCACAGGCCCCACCAGCUUAAGAGUAAAUUUUUUUUUUUUUUUCUGAGAACAGGAAAAAGAUUAAAGAAGAUCGAACCAAUACAAAAAUGUGAAAAAAAAAAAUUUAAGAAUAAAACAUAAAACCGAAAUCCAAGUCUUGGCAUUUUUCAAUGAUUUUGUGGUGACGAAACGUUUGCUGCUGCUUUAAAAGUUUAAUGAGGAAGAACAUCUUUCCCUCUAGACUUCCAUUCGCCUGUAGACUUUUCAAUUCAUUCGAAACUUUCCUGAGUUGGAGCGGCCGUUUUCCGUCGAAAAAUUACGUCAUUUUUCGUAAACAUAUUUUCCUAUUACCUUUUUUCCUCACAUACGUCAAAUCGCUACAGUAGAAAAAUGAUGAAAAAUGCAAUCCAAACAGGUUCUAAAAAACUUUUGUUUGGCGCUCCACCAAAUAGGCACGUACUUUAUCAUUGAAAGCCUAUUCAAUUCGGUCAACAACAUUUCCAGGGUGAGUGAUUCUUCUAAUUUCUAAACUCGGAACUGGCGAUUAGAAAAUGUGGGCUAAUUUAUGACUGAUCAACUUAAAUGUGGGCUAAUGUAGACAUGCAAGUGAUAUUUGCACUUCGGGUUCGUAGCACUCCGUUCUAACAUUUUAUUACGUGACAAAAGAAUGGAGUUGCAGUAAAUUAUUUUAGAUUAAAUCUUAUAUAUACUGAUUGAUUCACGGUAUAUACACUAUCAUGGUUGGAUGCACGAUAUAUAUAUAUGUAAAAUUUUAAUUUGGAUUAUAUGAAUUUUUGUAAGCUGCGUAGCUUCAGUAAAAAAAAAUAUGUAUAUAUUUGACCUCUCACUGCACCGCACUGGUAAAUACGGAUAACGAAAGCGGGGCGGGGUAAGUAGGUGAUCAGCAGCUGGACGAAAGAGACACCGCACCUAAGCACAUAAAUACACACAUUCCCUGAUUUUGAUUCUGGGCUCAAAAUCUGUGCAAGACCAAACCAGAACCCCAUCCAAAACUAUUCAUCCCUGAUAGUGCAAUAAUUGUAUCGUAGUAAUGCAUCGCCUUCUCCCCCAGUCCUCCUCCCCCCAAAAAAAAAAAACUCAGUCCCCACUCCCUAGAAUUUUAGCGGAAGGAUGAUGAGGAUAGUGGCUGCGGUCGUUGGGUUUGGUGCAAUCAACAAACACGCAUCUCCAUACGCACCACUCCCUCCUCACUUGGCCGGCCCUCCCUCUUUGCGCAUGUCUCCCAUGAAAUUCUUGCCGUGCCUCCAUAUUAUCCAAUACAUCCCAUGAUCCCGCCCCAAGGCAGACUAAAAUUACUAGUACCACACUCGGUAUAAUGAAACAAAUUUAAGAAAGAAACAGACGGCGUGUAAUAUUGGAGGCAAUUGUAAGAAACUGUUUAAUCAUGACAGAUCACUUGUGGUGGGGGAAGGUCAGUUUAAUGAACCGAUCGAAGGGCAAAUACUGUCAAAGAGCUGCGGUCCAUGCAUGGAUGGCUGCAGGCUCCUUUUUAUCCCUGCCUGCAUUAAGGAAACGGCAGCUAAAAGCAAAGGUUGGCAAAAUUCAAAAGGGAAGAAACCCUUUUCGAUCAAGGAGCUUUCAUUUCCAUUGUAGUAGUAAUUAAUGUUUGAUCUUCACCUGUAUGCCACUACUUGGAGUACGUGUUUGAUUCUGCCGCUUUUACAACCACCUUGUUUGCUGGAGCUCAUGAAUAUGACUACUACUUUCAUUCAAAUACUAGUCUGUCUUUUGUCGUUCGUUUGUUGAGACUAAUCAAAGAUAUGAUGAUAUGCAUCCCGUGGCCGUGGGGCGGGACCAGAUGGGCAUAUGAUUAUUUAUGACAUCCAUAUGGAAGUUGGAACCAAUCAGCUUUUCUGUCUUCCUUGCUACUAGUACAAUUUAUAACUCUUCCUCCUCGACUUGGUUGGCUCACUUUAGGGUUGAAUUUCGUUUCAUUUUUUUACACCGAAACUACUGAUCACAAGAACCAAAAAUCCAUUCCCGUACUACGCAAUUCAAUUUCCUGAGCCCAAAUUAAUUAGCCCUUCUGAUUGAUUUUUUUUUUUUCUGUCUUUUUGGCUAUGUGGUAAUUUCUUGUCCCUUGGUUAAUAAUAAUAGGCUGUGAGUUCGAUACUAGUAUACUGUUGAUGAUAGAAAAAAGAAUAGUAAACUGUUCAGUCUUUCCUUACGCUGAGGAUGACCAUAAAUUCCGAAAAAAGAAAAAGAAAGAUGUGCUCAGACAGCACAUCCCACCGCCAUGCCCAAAAUGCUUUAAUUUCCUGAGAAUGAUUAAAGGCAGAGUAAGUUUGGUCCGUAAAGCAAAUGUCAUUACCUAAUACUAGCCGUAUUAGGUGAUACAAAAUGAUGGCAGAAUUAUUAAAAGUGGGGAUGAACCAUGAGCUAUCAAGUUGAUAUUACUGUAUCACCAUGCUGCACUAGUAGUAUUUUAGUAUAAGCUUUGGCCACUCUUUAGCACAUUUUCCUACAUUUCCGUGUCAAAAAGAAGUGUGAUCUAUUUUUAAUUUAUGAUUCAUUGGCGUUCUCUUUUUUCCAACUCACGAAACAAUCUAACAACCCCUGUCCCCUUGCUUUUGGUUCCCAGCAACAAGGUGUCAAUUAUGUAUCGUGCCUGUGUUCUUUGAAAAAAAAAUUUUAAUCCAUGCCCCCCUGCCUCGCUCCCUAAUGAAUGAGAAGAGUUUUCUUUUUGGACCAUCUGUCCAGUGUAGGACCCAAAUGCUUGCGGAGACGGCCCAAGAUUGUAAGCGGACUACUUCGGACUCGAGACUCUGAAAAGACUUUUAUUACCAUUAAUAGUGCUCUUUUCUUUUUGACCUUUUGGGAUGGUUAUGAAACGUCUACGCUGUGCGGUUGAUGUUAGUCGGAAGGCCGGGACAGUACCAUUGCAGCAAUAGGCGGAGGCAUUUUUAUCCUGUGACAAAAUGUUAUAGCGACGGAAAAGAAGAAAAUUUGGCGUUAAUCCGGUAUUAGAUCUUAACAUAUGUGUGAAACCGGAUGCAAUUGUAGCCCCCCCCCCAAAAAAAAAAAAAAAAUCAAUCCCUGUUUGACUAAAAAGUAUGACCAAGGACUAGAAAGACUUGAGCCCCAAGUCAUCAUCCGAUGCUUUUUCAGGCCUCUGAAAAACAGAGCCUGAGGAUAGAAGCUGGCAAGAAGGAAAAAGGGAUCAGAGCUGCUCUAGGGGAGAGGACAACAAGAAGAAGGCGUUGAGCGGAGCGGCGGGGACCAAUGGCACCAGUGGUUUCGGCGAAGAUGUUUUACAACCUCCCCCACCCGCGUCUCAAAUCCUCUGUCCCUGAAUAAUUCUCUAUCCUGUACGUCCCAAAUUUGCGUAGUUAUCACGUGUAUUGAUAUAUUGAUAAAUCAAUUAAACUCAUAACAAACGAGUCAACAAGUCAAACAUUGCUUCAAUUAUCAACGUAUCAAUACACGUGGCAGCUGUAUAAGCAAGAUUAACAAGUCAAAUUGAAUGAUAUAUAUAUAUAUAUAUAUAUAUAUAUAUAUAUAUUUGCAAAUUAUGCUAACCAAGCGGACCCUUAUCUCCUUUCUCACAAAAAACCCUGGGGAUAAUUCUCAAAUUGUUGCAUGCUCAUGAAAAAAAGACACAGAAAUGAAUAAAGUUUUUUGUAUUCCUGUGGCCUCAAAUGUUUAAUUAUUAAGGGAAGAAGGAUGGAUCAAUUGUGACCGGAGAAAAAAGGGGGGAAAAAAACGAAAGAAAAAGAAGAAAGGGGGCCUGCGCCAGGGUUUGAUGAUUGUGAGUUGUGGGUGGCGUGCCUGUGAGAUAGCGUUAGGCAGCAACCUUGGCCUUGGGGUCACGUGGUCCUAGUCCCAAUCACCCUCCCUCCCUUCCCCAAAGCUGGACUCCGUUGAUCCGUGUCUCUCUCCGAAUCUGCACCCCAAACAAUCAGAGAUGCUCCACCUAGGCUCGGACAACCGUUUAGCUUCCCGAACCUCUUCCCAAUAAACAAACAAAACCUGCCAUCUAUAAUUUUAAUGGAAAAUAAAACUGGAUAGAAGAUAUAUAGAUACGCUGCUAUACUAAUACUAUACUGUAGAAGAUUAAAAAUUAGUAGUAUAAUAUAAUAUUAUUAUUAUUAUUAUUAUUUUAGCAGCUUAGUCUGCCGUAGUUAGUAGCCGUGGUCAAUCGCCUCCCACCAUACUCCAUAACCCCAGCGCCAACAACGCCCAACCCCCUUUCCCUUGCAGACCCAUCUUCUCCCACAAGCCAACAGCUACCCAGACACAAACUUCCUCAAUUCUCUUUUUCCUCCCUUGUCCCGGAAGAAUCAAGCAACUGACCAAAAGCCGCAUCCCUCCCGGUCCGCCCUUUCUUUUCUCAGAAGCUACUCUUUCAUUUCUCUAUAUUACUUACUAGUACACUUUCCUUUUUUCUUCCCCUCUGCAUGUUGUCUCUGUCGAAGCUUUCACGGCCCUCAAUUUUCCCACACGAGAAAUCGCUGCUCCUCACGGAAAAGCAUUUCCAAAAGGUCCCGUUUCCCCCUUUAUAUAACCCCAACACCCUUGCUGCAAUCUCUCUGUCCAUCUUUCACUGAGAAGUAACAAUGACGGGGCUCCCGCUGACAGAGAUUGCUCAGUCCUUGCUGUUGUUGGCUAUUUUUGUUCUCCUCCAUUCUUGUUUGGUAGCCCAUGCAAUUUUAAACCCUAUUGAUUUUCUGGCUUUACAAUCUAUUCGGAAGAGCUUGGAUGAUUUGCCCGGUUCCCAUUUUUUCGCGUCCUGGGAUUUUACCUCCGACCCCUGCAACUUCGCCGGAGUGUAUUGCGUUGGAGAUAACGUUAUCGCCCUGAAUCUCGGCGACCCUAGAGCUGGUUCCCCUGGACUCACAGGCAGGCUGGACCCUGCCAUUGGCAAACUCUCCGCCCUCACCGAAUUCACCGUUGUUCCCGGACGGAUCAUCGGCCCGUUGCCGGAAUCCUUAUCCCAGUUGAAGAACCUCAGGUUCCUUGCGGUGAGCCGGAACUUCAUCUCCGGUCAGAUUCCCGCUACUCUGGGUCAGCUCCGAGGUCUGCAUACCCUCGACCUUAGCUUCAAUCAGCUGGCCGGAAGCAUUCCUUGGUCGGUGGGAGCACUGCCGGCGCUGUCCAACGUCAUUCUCUGCCACAACCGUCUCUCGGGUCCGGUCCCUCCUUUUGUUUCGCAGACAUUAACCCGGCUAGACCUCAAACAGAACGAUCUUUCGGGGUCCUUGUCCCCGGCUUCGCUUCCUCCAUCCCUUGAAUACCUCUCGUUGUCGUGGAACCGAUUCGGCGGUCCGGUGGACAGGCUUCUCAGCGGUUUAAAUCGGCUGAAUUACUUGGACCUGAGCUUGAACCAAUUCACCGGCUGCAUUCCAGGUCGCUUAUUUUCCUUCCCAAUCACCAACCUCCAAUUACAAAGGAACUUAUUUUCGGGUCCGGUUGAACCGGUCGACCAGGUGACAAUUCCCACCGUUGAUCUGAGUUACAACAGGUUAUCGGGUGACAUAUCCGCACUCUUCGCGACGGUACAGAAUUUGUAUCUGAACAAUAACCGGUUCAUGGGUCAGGUGCCAAAUAGCCUGGUGGAUCGGUUGUUAUCGGCAGGUAUACAGAUACUGUAUCUACAGCAUAACUAUUUAACAGGGAUCGACAUCAAUCCGGGGGCUGAGAUUCCGGUGAGCAGUUCGCUGUGUCUGCAGUACAAUUGCAUGGUGCCCCCACUGCAAACUCCCUGCCCGCUAAAGGCUGGGAAGCAGAAGACCAGGCCGACUGAUCAGUGUAUCGAGUGGAAGGGUAAAACCAGGAAUUAGACCGUCGUCGUGUUUAUUUCACCAAUGGGCAAAAUUUUUGCAGGCUCUCUAUUUUUGGUCAAGCCGUGACACAUUUUCUUUUUUCUUUUUUUUUUCUUUUUUUUGGGGGGGUUUGGGAGAGGGGUUGUAUCAUGUAUGUGUGGGGGAAGUGGAAGAAGGCAAAUAGGAGAUUCAUUUUAUUUAUUUUUUGUGAUGAGUAUAUUAAUUGGGGUUAAAGUACUGAGCAGUGGUAGUACUCAACAAGUAGCAGAAAAAUAAAAAGCAAAGCAAAAUGUGGAUAAGCAGAGAAACUACUACUACUACUAAUAUUUAUUAUUUUUUUUUGUAAAUUUUUCGGGAUAUGGUACUUCUCCGAUGAUAAAUAGAGUUGAUGGGAGAGAACAACUGGGUUUGUUUUCGUUGCGACCUCCUUCCUUGUUACUAUUUGUUUGUUGUAGGAUCAAGGACGAUGCUUUGUCAGUCUGUCGUUAAUUUUUCUUUUUUAUUUUGGGAUUCAGAACAUCUAUCUGACUUGCUUUUUACUGAGAAUGUUCCCCAUUAAUUGUCGUUGUUGACAACGGCUACUUAUACAUAUGCUGGUGGUACUCUCCUUAGUUCCAGGGGACAACGCACUUGGAGUUGGAACUAAACCUUUUUUGUCAUUUGUUCAGGAUGCACAUUUUGGUGGUGGUCUGACAUACAUUACCGUUGAUAUAUAUAUAUAUAUAUACAUCAUAUAGGAUUUUUCCGGCUUCUCCUCGUUUUCCCAUUAGUUGGUUUGUUUUGUUAGAAUGAGUUUUGCAUUUGGACUUGGUAAUUACGACGCUGUCAUAUUGUCUGGUUUUUUGAUUUAGGAAGCCAGACUUAUAAAGUAGUGCGUACGUGCUUGCUUGCUUGCUUGUGUUUUGGGCAUGAGAUGAUUUCGGGUGCUUUCAACGCUUUUAUAUGAUGGAGACUGACUGAGUAAACAAGGGAUCUUCUCUAAAGCGAAAGGAGACUCGCGGCACUAGUUGAGAUCUUAGGAUGGAUUAAUUAAUGAUUUUCCUGCGCCCUUUCUUGAUCCACCACAUUGCGGAGAGUCAAAAAGGUUCCGAGGCUGCGUUGUCUAAUCUCUUUUUGUCCUAAUUGAACCCCAAAUGAUUGUGGGUGCUACUUACUGGUACACUACUGUUAUUUGGGUCCUACCCUUCACUACGUUGGGUCAGGGCUGUUCCAACACUUUUUGUUGUCCCCACAUCCGAUUGCAAAUCUACAUCUUAAGUCGAUGAUUUAGUCUAUAAUGUUCACGAAGUGACAUUUGGGGAAAAAAAAAAAAGGGUCUACAUUUCACCAAAACCUAUUCUUUCGCAUUUAUAUAUUUUCUGUAAUUAAUUUUCUUACAUUUAUAUAUUUUUCCUAAUUAAUUUUAUAUUUAUAAAAGUCUAACAUCUGGAAUGCAUUUUAAUGAUAAUAAAAAAUGUGUGUUAGCAAAUUUCAAUUCCAUGUCUAAGGGCCUAUUCAGAUUACUAUUUUUAGGAGUUUUUUUUUUUUUUUUUUGUUGGUAGAAAAACAUACUUUAGCGAUAUCGUAAAAAGGUGAUUGAAAAAUAUAUUUGCAAAAAUCGUAAAAAAUUUUUCGGCGGAAAACCACAAUCCAAUAGUGGAUAGAACUAAGGGUUGCUUACAAAAUACCUCCACCAAAUAUGCCUCACUGUUUAAUUUGAUCAAUCAGCUUUGUGAAGUUUUUUUUAAAAAAUUUUCCCAAUGUAAUAAAAUCAAUUAAACCGUCCAAAGUUAAAUAUGUUGACAUGCACAUUUUUCCCACAAAAGCACUAGUUAACACUCAACAAAUUUUCCCAUUUUGCACUUUCAAACUUGCAUCACUUUCAUGUUCUAAAUUUUCAUUUUAGACACUAUGAACUCUCAAUUUUUGUUGAUACUUGAACGUCCCCAAGCAUAAGAUCAUACAAAUCAAAGACAAUAUGCUUAAAACACCAUUUAAAAAGGUGCAAAAGGGAGACCAGGCGGUACAAAUUAAUGACAAUUAUUAUUGUGUAUCAAUCAAUUAAUGAGGAGGUGUCUCUACUCCCCUGCACAUGCACGUGCACGUGCACGUGCACUGGAGGUGGGGUUGUUGGGGGAUGCGAGACGAAACGAAAUGAAACAUUUUUGUACACAAAUCACAUUAAGUUUAGGUGAUCCAUCUAUGUUGGAAGCUUUUUAGAGAGACACAUAAUUGCAUACACACAACGAUCCUACCGCGUCUUUCAAGAGUUGGAGAGAGAGCUAUUGCAGAUUCACCGGAGUCUUUCUUUUUCUUUAUAGUAGUACCACUCCAUUACAAAAUAGUUUCACAGUUCUUGAAAUCAACAAAAUGCUUACAACUUCUUUUUUCGAUAAUUUCUGUGCAUAUCUCUCGAUCUCUUUUAUUUUCUUCUUUUUAGCUCGGUAAACCAAGUGAUUUACUGAUUCGCAUUAAACCCAAAUAUUUUUUUUCAAAAAAAAAAAAAAAAAAAGCUAAACUUCCCCACCAAAUGUAUUUGAAUAAAGUUCAAUUCUAACCGAUGUACACAGAGACUUAUCGUUAACCCUACGCUGUGUUUGGAUUGUCAUUUUUGGAAGAAAAAUUGUUACGUUUUCCGUGAACAGAUUUUACCUCACAUAUAUCAAAUCGCUACAAUAAUUUUUCUAUAAAAGAAAUAUGAAAAAAUGCAAUCCAAACAAUCUUGCAGCAAGAAGACCGGACGCGUUCAAGAUGCCAUUGAGCGAAACCUCUAAUUCUCGUUUGGGUGUGUGUGAAACUAGAAUUUUGAAUUUUACACAAAUUAAACUUUAUUUAAAUAGGAUGACAUUUCCAUUCCAUACCCCAGUUGAAACUCCCGGAGCCCAUUAAAAUGGCAAUAGGUUGAGGAACUCCAGGAGGGAUGUUCCACGGAGAAAACGAAAAGGCUAUUGAACAAAAUCAACUAUAAUUACGGGCAGCCACGCGGGAUACCUACAACUACAAGACAUCUCAUCUGUGGAAUCUUAUGAAAACCCCUAGACAAACUUUUUCAAAAUAUUUAGAUGGUUCAAACACUGACCUGGUAUUUACUUGCAUUCAAGAAAACCACUUACAACAUUGAUUGUUACUUGCUGAAAUCCGUUCCCCACUCGGCAACUCGGGAGAGCCUUCAGUGGAAAUGUCCUCUUCCCAGCUGCGGCCUGUUAGACACCGGCCCCUCUCCAUUCCCAGGGAAUUCCCAUUUCGCGACGUCCCCAUCCCAAGAAGAGCUGACAAGCAUGGGGUAAUUAGGAUGCCAGCUACAAUCCCUUAUAGCUGAUUUAUGGUACUGCAGUUUUGCAACUUGAGCUCCGGUGACCUAAAUAGCACAUCACCGUCAAUCAGAGAUAAGAAUAUUUGCAAGGAGUUGAAGGUCUGUAACAGCGAGAUACAUGAUGGAAGAAUCUUUACAACAUCUCACCGUUAAAAAAAAAAAAAAAAAAAAUCAUACGUCACAAAAUUGACUUCAGUGGAUGUUACAUCGGUCAUGUUAUGGACCUUUUGACUAUGGACACUUGUUUUGGUUUUCCUUUCUUCAGUCUAUUAACACUAGUAAAGUAUAGUUGACCAGCUGAAAGUUCAACAAGAGUUGGUAUCCAUGCCAUUAGUGGCAUAGAAACAAACGAAAUGAGAUCGAUGCAGAGAAUUUCACUACCCAGAAAACUAAUUUCAGAGUCAAUGAAGUCAAAUGAUCAUCAUCCAAAACAUGAAGCAGUCAAGCCCAGCAAAAAAUAAUCGCCCAUCAAAGCCUAUACUUACCAAAUCGUAUACAUAUACGCAGGAAUCGUAGGAGCCAGUGUAAAUAUAUUUCUGCCCGGUGCUGAAACAGAGGAUUGUGCAUAGCAUGUUAAUUUGAUACCCAGAUGAACUAACUUUUACCUAUUCUAUCUAACCAAAUUAAACCAAGAAUGCUUGCAAGACUGUAAGUUGCUUGUGUUAACUUUACCUAUGAUCUGGGGAGAAGUAGCAGCGAAUGAGAGUACGUAGGACUGAAUGACCUCUGUAUGUAGCCACUGAUUGAUCACCUGGAUGCUUCAGCUCUCUAGCCUGUGGGGGGUAGUCCAUCCAUCUGUAGUCCCACUGAGAAUUCCUAAAGCCAUGAUCCCUGAAAGGAAUACCAAAACUUUGAUCUCUGACCCCAUGCAAAACUCAGAACAAAAUCAGGCAGAGACAUGUUUUAGACAUCAAGAAAAAAAAAAAAGUUUGGUAUAGCUGAAUGACACAUAAAAAGAUGCUAGAAUUAUUGAUAUCAAUUUCGAUAUUUAUGCUACUUCCAAAUAACAUUUCCCACUUCAAUCAGUUUCAGGCAUUAAAAUUACAGAUUAAUGCUAUCAAAGCAUGCAACUAAAACAUGCAAAUUCAACAGAUGAUACACAAUACAAGCGUCGUAAGCAUGUCAUUUAUUUGAUAUUCUAAAGCAGCCAAAGGUUAUGCCAAAAGUAACUUGAGAUCAACAAAAUGGAGAUCGACAUAUUCAUAGCAAAAUUUCUGCAGGAAAAUAGUGGUUAACAACCUAAUAUCUUGCAAGUUCAAAAGUUCCGCAUAUUCAAAAAAGGGAUAAUGCUAACAAGAGAUAAGGACUCCACCCCAUUCAAACUAUUUUUCCGAGCUAAAAACUUAGUUUUAGCUUAUUUAAGUGGCAAAGUUUUUAAUACCCAGGACCAGCCAUCAAUGCACUUUGGAAAUCAACUCUUGCUUUCGGAAACUGCAACUACAACUACUCUAAAUCUUUUAACAGCUUGUACUGGAAUCAAUUUCUAUGCAGCUUUCUAGAAACUGAAACAAAGGAGAAAAAGUUUAUUUCAACUGCCUAGCAUGUAAUAGGUGUUCAACAACAAAAUAAUAAAGAAAAAUUGAAUAUCAUAGAGGCUUCAAAUUUCAUGAUUAUGAAAUAAGCAGUUGAUGUUUGAUAGUUAAGCUUGGAAGCAAUGCAAUUAGAAUAAGCACAAUGACAAUAAGACGUUAAGAUAUCUUGAAUUCCCCUAUGUGUAUUCGAGUUAGAAAAGUAACACUAUAUCCAUCCCCUUUGAACAUAAUAAAGCUGCUUAGGAAAAUCCUAGUCCACACUCCGUCACAGCACAUGAACAAAGAAGAAAAGAAGUUGCAAGGUUCAUACACGAGUCCCUGAUGUAAGCUUAGCAAAGCAUGAAAGUGAGCAUACCGAGGGCUAUUAGGGGACAUUUUCCGUAUAUCCCAAAGUUUAAUUGUCUGGUCUUUACCAUUUGAAAUGAAAUACCGACCAUCUCCACGACUGUCAAGAAACGUGAUGCCUUCUAGGUGUCCAAUCAGGACACCUGCUGGCUUUCCUUUUGCUCUGAAGCAUCGUCUGUCCCAAACCUAUAUAAAAAAGAGGGUGGUAACAAUUCCUUAAAACAACAAACAAUUGAAAAUUUCAUUUCUCAAUUUGACUUCGCAAGAUGUCCCUCUAAGUAUAUAGUCAAUUCGGAGAUCCGAUUCUUAAUAUUGCUUCAUCAGAACUACUUUGCAGACUGGGAAGCCCUAUUUUGUUGAGAUAUAGGAAGAACUUUGUUAUAAUAUCUACACCAUGUAUGAAAAUUCUUACGAAAAGGAUCAGUAUUCAUCUAAACCUUUGUGCACUCCCACACACAAAGAAGGCCCUGUGGCAAUCAGAGUCCAAAGUCAACUACAGAGGAGGAUUACUCCGCUCUAAGAGAUUAAACGAUUGCUCAUCUGAGAUUUCAUGUUUUAAGUUGAAAUCCUAUGCUUAAUAAGCUCUACGCAUACAGAUAAAAUUAAAGAAUUAUAUGACAGCAACUAAGACUGGAAAACUCACAUUUUGGAUUAUCUUAUUAGACAAUUUAGCUGGAAGAUACCUUGCAGAGGUUGUCAUCACUUCCAGAGAAAAUAAGAUGGCCACUUUCAUCAGCAAAACAUACUGUAUUAACGUCAGACUGCAGCGAGAAGGAACAGAUAGUAUUAAGUGUGGUCAAACUAAAUGUCUUUGCAAGUAUAAACAGACAGAAUAAAGUGGAGGGUGGGUGCACAUUGAUAAACAUUAUUUAACAUACUGCAAUGCAACCCAUAGGACAACACAUGCAAAGUUUUAUUGCAGCAAAAUCACUACCGUGUGCGCCGAUAUUCGAAGAGUUAGUUUGUUCGCUUCAAGAUCAUAUACAUAUAUUGCAUUAUCACUGCUUCCAGCUACGACUUCUCGUCCAUCUGUUGAAAAUUUCACAGAAAAUAUUCCAAAAGAGUAUCCCCCAUUAUCUUCAUCAGAAAAAUCCAAACCAUCAUGGAUCUCCUGGAUCAUAUGAACCCCAAUUAAGCAAUUGCUUUGAAGGAAGACAUGAACAAAGAAUAAAAGAAUUGCACUUAGAACACGUGUUGGAGAAAACCAGGAACCCCCACCCCCACCCCCAAAAAAAAUCGCCUUCCCAGAAACCUUUUACGCAUUCAUACAGGCCCGAAGAAUAUUUAUAACAACAAACCAUUAAGAGGCACACCCUUCCCCAGGAAACCAAGGAAAAAACAUGCACUAAUGCAUCCUACAACACAGGAUGCUACAGCCGAAGGACAUCAUAUAAAAAUCUGAAUUUUGACAAGAAGCGCAAAAUUAGAGCUCUUGACUAGAAAUGGAACUUAUGAGAAUCAGCCACUGGUGCAAUUUUAUGAUUAGAAUCAAGAAUUCAUUUCCUCAAUUAUCAAGUAUAGAAGGUGACCUUCAACCAGGAGAAACAUCAUAAAGGCAACAAAGUUUGCCGUACAAAAACUUGUUCAAACUUAGAAGCAAAAAAGUGCAAGAAAUAUGUGCCUAGGUGCAUGACUGAAUUCAGUAAUUUUUCUAAUCUCAGAAAGCCAUCACAUAUGUAAGCUACAUCAGCUUCAAGCUAAAAUGAAUUCGAACUUCAUACCGUCACAUUUGCCAGAGAUUCUGUUGUAGUAGAGCCAACAUUAACAAUGUGAACUAUAGGUGACAUGGUAGCAUAAGCCUGCAAUUAGAGUUGAUAUCCAAUAGGUAAAUAGAACUUUGAAAAUUAGACAAAUAUUUCAUGCCAAUAUGACAAUUUCUAGCACCCAACCAAGGACAUUUAAACAGAACCACAGAAGUCAAGAAAAUAAAAGGGCUUUCAGUCUCGAUUUAGAGAUAUACUUCAUCGAUACAACCAGGAUGUGUCUGAGGUAAUGGUCAUGUGCAACAAGAAGUUCAUCUAAAUGGUAGGAUCACAAUGUAACAAUAUUAUGGCACAGACAAAUAUGAACAUGCAGUCGCAGUUUUUAGCAGCGUAAAACUUACAAGAUUCCUUUGAUCUGGUGAAAGAGAUGUAUCAGUAACUGUCCAUCUCAAGCUUCUGGCAAGAAUGUUCUUUUGAACUUUCCACCCUCUUUCCACAUUGUAUAUUCGAAUGUGACUUCCCUGUUUUGUAAAAGAAAAAUACUUUCUUAGGAAAAUAUUUAUGCACAAAUAACAGUGCCAGAAAGCUCUAUUAAGAUAUGCAAGUUAACAUAAACAACAAUACAGAAGAAAGUUUUUUGUAACUUGGGAGAUCAAAAGAAGGUCCACUUGAACUAGGCAAUUAACAAGUACUCGACUCAGCCAGGACAAAGUUUCUUAAAUGCCAUAAGAAUCAAAAGGUUUCUUAAACAUUAAAAGGUUCUAUCUCUCCUGUUUCUUUUUCUUUACUAUUUUACAUGUGCUCCCGAUAAGAAUAUAGAUAUUGCUAUAGUUCUUCCUUCCAAUAUAACCAAAGGUUAACAAUCGCAUAUUCUCCACUGUAAGUUGAACCAGUAUUGUACAGGAAAAGACUACCUGAAAUGCCGCAACAAAAAGGGAGCCAUCAGCUGAAAAUUGCGACACAUAAGCCCUGGUGUUCAUCUGGUCCACAACCCAAGGACCAUUGACUGGCAAGUAUUUACUGAGAACAUGACAGCGAUCAGCUGUUGAAAAUCUCCCUCUACCUGAAAAAUUUGCCUCUCGACCAGCUAACAUCUUCAGAGUUGAAACAGAAGAUUCCCGUUUCCCAGGCAGUACUCGGCUUAAAUUCUCAUGGGGCCCUGACCUAAGCUUAGUGAGCUGAGCAAUUUCAUGGUCCAAAGAACUCAAUGGCCUUUUAUAUGCUGGACUGCCAACAACCUCAUAGCUGGAACUAAAACCCUCUAGAAGUUCCGAUUCAAGUUCCAAUCUGCUAAACCAGUGGCCCAUGUCGUUAAUGGCAGUCCCCUCAGAUAGAAAAUACAUUUGUAACUCAACGGUACCCCUGGAAGUUUUUGACAAAUAUCAGAUGCUGUCGAGUCUUCAUAGUAUCCCCAAUAGGGUCCUUGUUACCAUGCCAACUCUGCAAACAAUAAUGCCAACGACAACUCUGGCAAUAUUAUUAUAUAUUUCCAACAACACAAAUGAAUACAAGCUACACAUAAGAUUGACUUUGCAACAAUCUAUAUCCAGAGAAUGGGCAAUUAUGCAAUUUCAGAAUGACAACUCUCAUAUAUAUAUUCCAUUCAAUCGAGUAAAGUCAGACAAAGAUAGAGCGAUACUCGAAUCACGCGGAAGAUACACCAUCCUCAAUUAUGGGGUUCGUCCAGAAUCCUACUCAUUUCAACUAUAUCCAAGGUUCUUGACCGAAGUACGUCAAGAUUUCAGCUUUUUCUACAGCAAGCAAAAUUCUUCAAGGUACAGAUAAUUUUUUACUUACUACAGAGGACAAAUUUCGAAAAAGUAAAAGAAUUAUAAUUGAGAUUAACGAAGUUGGUUCCACUAAACAUCAAUCAUCAUCGAUAAAUAAAGUUGAAUGAAAGUCAACUUACUACUGAUUUGAAAAAAAAAAUAAAUAGAAAAGAUAUAAAAGUUCAUGACCACAAUCUUGUACAAUCACCUGGAUGUUGGGACUAUUACCCAAAACAGUCUCUCUCUCUCUCUCUAUCUUAUGCUAUGUCUUCUGGGUUUAUGACUUUUUAUUGUUUGGUUCGGCAACAGUGUCAAAGCUGGAUAAUGACCAGCAGGACAGGAAAAUGCUCCAGUGUAUUUGGAUGUCUUCACUUAUGGACUGAAUUAUCCAGCACCGCUAGCAGUGAAUUAGCAAAGGUUUCUUUUAGGAAUCGCACCAAGAAAAGUAGUAGUAAAUUAGUAGUACGGCAUAUGGAAAUACUAAUGAAUUGGUGGAAAGAGGCCGUGGGGGGCGGGUUGGUCGCUGUGAUGAGUGGUUGUUGAAGGUUGUGCUGGGUGGAAGCGUGGCGGACUCUAGUUCCUAGAAAUGUUACGGUGCAGUGCAGUCGGCCUUGGCUUGGACCCUCUUAUUUUUCAAUUUAGGAUAAUUUCAAAAGCCUCUUCCCUUCGCGUUUCGGUAAUUGCAGUAAAAUGACUAUAACAUUCGUCACUUGUGCAUAAUCUCAUAUCAUUAAAAAAAAAAAACAAAAAUCAUGCAAUCCAUUCCAAUCCUUGUAUCAUAUUUUCGGGCACUCUCUUUUAAAAAAAGAAAUGGGAGAAUUAUCGAAUUGAAAUUACCCUGUUACAAGUUGUGAGAGCAUAUAAAAAAAGCAUCGUAAUGAAAACACAAGUGUUGGCUAAAAAUCGAAAAGGAAUUGGAGGUUAUGCUAUCAUGCCAAUUUUGUGCAGAAAAAUAAGUUUUAGGGUAAUGAUGGAUGAUUUUGGGCUGUCAACAAAUUUGAGAAUAUGAGAAUUCGGUUUUAGUGGCUUGAUGAGCCGGUUAUUUUAUUUUAUUUUUUUUUUCAAUAUAGGGUAUAUCCCAACUUUUCCGAACUAAUCACCUGCACCUGAAGUACCUCACCCCCAAGAGUACCCAGACAUUAAGAGAGGUUCGAACCCUGGACCUUGGGAUCUGAAUGGCUACCCCAAGACCAGGUGAUCUAACCCCCGAGCGGCUUGAUGAGUCGGUUAGGGUGGUGAGAUUUGCCAUUUGUAAUAGUUACAACGAGGAUGAAAGAGAUGAGUGUUCAUUUUUCCCCCUAACAAUGGCGUAUUUUAUGAUUUUUAAGGAUAACUGUAGAUAGUUGGAUCUAUAUUGUUAUUAAAAUAGCAGAAGUAUGCGAGGUAAGUGUAAAUUUUAAAAUUAUAUAGUUAGAAACGUGAAAGGAAGGUUUCUAAAAUGAUUGCUUUUUAAUUUUAAUUAUGAUACACUAGUAUUUGUAGUUUUACCUUCCUCUCUCUUUCUUUUUGUUUAAUAACGGAAACCCUUGCCUUAGCUAAGAGUAGAUAUAUCUAGCUUUAGGGAACCCAAAAAAAAAAAAAAGAAAACUGCAACUUAUUAAUUACACAACUAGAUCAUGCAUCUGUAUAAAGAUGACUGUUAAUUAUCCCCUUUUUUUACUAACUAGAUGUAAUAUAAGUAAGUGAUAUUAAAGGGAGAAUGGAUUGCCAAUAUCAUCUCCUUUAUAACCUUAGUACAGUUAACCAAAAAUAGGGGGGAAAAAAAGACUGAUUACCUUCAGUAAUUAAACUUUUAAUCAAAUGGGGAACUCAAUUACUAUCUCGCUUUAGCAAUUUUCAGUUUGGCAUGUCCGUAGCAUUGUCAUAGCCAUUCUUUUAGGCACAAUGCAAACAACAUUUUCUUCCAGUGCGUGUUCAUAUACUACGUUGUGUGUUCGUAUGCCUAAAGUCUAAGGCUCUGUUUGGACUCAAGAGUUUUUCAAAUAUUAUUAAAAUUUUUAAAAAGUACUCUUAAAAGUAGUCUAAAUUUUUUUUAAUGUUUAAAAUAUAUUCCAAAAUAUAUUUUAAAAACUCUUCUACUCUUAAAUAUCCCAAAAUAUUUUUUAAAAUAUAUUAUAAAAAUUUUGCUAUAGUAAAAUUUUUCAAAAAUACCCUAAAAACAACUAAUCCAAACAGACCCUAAUACUUCAUUUAUCUAACAAAUUAAUUUUACAUGCCAAAGCUUCUUUUUUUAUUUUAAUGGUGUCAACCAUGUGAAAAUCAAAGUUGGCUCAUUAAAAUUUAGUGAAAAAUGCUAAUCACUCUUUUUUUUUUUUUCUUUUUUCCUUUUUUAAGGCAAACAAUGGAUGAGAUUUAAGAAUUUUUUGUCUAGUAGGCAGAGAACGUGAUUUAAGAAGUGAUGAGAGAAAAUGAGAGAAUUAAACCCAUGAUCUUUAAUUAUUGAGCCUUAAUCACCUUGUAACAUAUACAUAAUUCAACGUGCCACGCGUGAUAAGGAAGUAACUUAUGGCAUUAUUACCUACGUGUUUCUUGAUUAAUUGUUACCUUAACGUUUUGUUAUAGGAAAGUAACUGGCUAAAGAUAAAUUUAGAUUAAAGACAAAUACAGUAAAGGUGAUAUUUAAAUGUUGAAUGUGAAAUUCGAUAUAGUUUAUAAUUGGUGAUAUUUGUAUCAAACCUGAUCUUGCGUGCAUAGCAAUUGCAUGGAUUGAUUACAUUUAGCAAAUAUAUUGUUCAAUAUUUGGAUAUUUGCUAAUAAAAUAGAAAAAUAAUUUUUUUGCUUUGAGCAUUCUAAAAUCUUAACUAUUGAUUGGACAAAUUCUACGGACACUAAUGUUAACACUCAUAGGGGGUUCACGUUUAGCAAGUUUGAUGUUUUUCGUUGUCGUGUUCUUGACAAUGAGCACUAAAUGUUGGAUCAUCUGAUAUGGAUGUUUGCAGUUUUUACUUUUUACAGUUCUACGAAAUAAAAGUAAGGAAACGGGUUAAUAAUUGCAAUUUGAUUUAUAAAUUAAUUACAAUGACGGGAUUAGAUGUUCAAUAAUUAUUGACCAAGUUGUAUAUAUUGAAAUAGUUUAUCAAGUAUGUUAAACACCAAAAAAAAAAUAAUAAUUUCAGAAAAAAAAAGUAUGUUAAAAAUACAUUAUACCUCUCAUGCAUAUAGUUUGUAUUUAUUUAAGUUGAUAAAAUUUUCACCUCUUGAUUAAUGGUAUCAUUUACACAUAUACGUUCAUAAUUAAGGAUUAUACUACAUAUGACAUCAGACAAGUAUUCAGUAAAAUUGUACAGUGAUUACUUUAUACGCGAAUUGGUUUCGGAUUAGAAAUAGUUAAGUGGUUGAAAGUCUGAUACAUUUUUCGUGAUUAAUCAUUACCCAUCCGUUUUAUGGCAGGGGAGUAGUUUAUGGACCCGUUUAGUGAUUAUGCAUUUUAUAAACUCUUCUGUGUUAGUUUAGCAUUGUAAAAAAAAAAAAACAGUGAACAUGAACAUUUGGGCCAAAGUUGCAAGAAGCCCAAAUAAGUAAGAUCCGGGCUUUCAAUACCCCAAAAUUGCAGCAGUGCUCUUUAUCAUCCUCUUCUAUCGAGAAUCAUCUGCAGAACCAAGAAGAAACGACGGCGUCUGGCCGACGCAGCCCCACCGAAAUCCCAAGCACCAGCGAACAACUAUGAUCAGGGUGCGUGGGAAGUCCUGUAUUUCCGUUGAAGAACUAUGAAACGAGCUUGGAAAUUAUCAUCAGACGCAGCCCAAACGAGAGAUCGAUUCCUCCAGAGAAGAUACUCGGGCUCCCAUAACCCCCCUACAACGAGCCCUUCCUUGAACCCAUCAUCAUGUAAAACCCCUACUUCUGCUUCCAGGUUGCUUCGACAAUGUCCGCCCCAGACGCCAUCUACCACCUGCCAAAUCGUGUGGCCAAACAUCGCCCCUUUAUUCCUUAACAAAUGGCGCAGCCCAGGUGAUUCGACCGCCAAACAAGAUCAAAGAGACAGGGUCUCAGCAUUGAAAGAGGAGUUACUGAAGUACAGCGGCGAUGCGGAGAAUAUUGAGAGAGUUUUGGAAGAAAAAGGGGUGCCUUUGUUUCGGACUUAUUAUGAUGGCUCUGCUGUUAUUGAGCUCUUAAAGCAGUUGGCUUCCUCUCCUGAUUUUGCCCUUCAGGUCUACCCUUUUCCUUUGACUAACAUCUUUCUUUAAUGUUGUUUAUGCACCUGGGGAACUAUGAAUAUGCCUGUUGGCGUAGUUUUGUCAAAUUUUGUUCGUCUCUUUUAAUGAAUAAACGAAACCAGAUGAGGGUCUUAUGGCGAUACUCCCCGCUAGUUAGAUCUAUCAGCCAUCAAGAUGGUUGUUUCUUAGACUUCAAUGAAUGAGUAUGGAUAUGGUAAUUAAGAGUUCAGUGUUGAAUGCUGUCUUAUACUUGAAACUUGUGAAAUUGUUCCGUUUCAAUAGCAAGUCUACACAUCCCAUAGUACAAUAGAGAAUCCGGUCCCAUCUGAAUUUAGUGAAAAUGUUUGGACUUGACAAAAAGUCUAGACAUCCCACUGCAAAUUCCGGAGCCAUGCAAAACGUGCAGUUCUUACAGAAAGUCUCCACAUCUCAUUGUCCAAUUCAGAAUUUGGAGCUGUUUGAAUUUAGUGAUGAGUCUAAUCCACAUCUCAUUGUACUAGAUAUUUGCUUUCUUUAGUAUUAAUUCAAGUAAUGAAUGACAGCUAGGUUUAGUUGGAAACAAUAGUGUGUAUCUCUGUAUCAGUUUUGUGGAAUUUCUUUCUUUUUAGAUCUUCAAUUGGAGAAGGGAGCAAUUAGACCAUGGUGCACCUAUGACGAACGAGGAGUAUGCCACGGGCAUUACUUUGGCUGGAAGAUUGAAGGAUGUUGAUCUCGCAGCUGAGCUUUUUGCUGAAGCUGCCAACAAAAAACUUAAGGAAACCUCUCUGUACAAUGCACUUAUGAGUGCUUACAUGUACAAUGGUUUGGCUGCAAAAUGUCAGUUAGUUUUCUGGGAUUUGAGGCAGGAAGAAACAUGUAAGCCAACAAUUGUCACAUAUAACAUUCUCAUCUCAGUCUUUGGACGGUUGAUGCUGGUAGAUCACAUGGAGGCAACUUUACAAGAGAUCAAGGAUCUGAAUCUCUCCCCUAAUUUGAGCACAUACAAAAAUCUAAUUGCUGGAUAUAUUACUGCAUGGAUGUGGGACAAUAUGGAAAAGACCUAUAUGAUCAUGAAGGCAGAUGACGUGAAGCCCGACCUUUCUACCCAUUUGCUGAUGCUCCGAGGGUAUGCGCACUCUGGUGAGUUGAAAAAGAUGGAAGAGAUUUAUGAGCUGGUAAAAGAUCAUGUGAAUGAUAAGGAAAUUCCCUUGAUUAGAACUAUGAUAUGUGCGUACUGCAGGAGUUCUGUUUCAAAUAGGGUUAAAAAGAUCGAGGAAUUGUUGGUGUUGAUUCCAGAAAAUGAUUACAGACCUUGGUUGAAUGUGUUACUGAUUUGUCUGUAUGCAAAUGAGGAUUCACUGGAGCAAAUGGAAAAUUUAAUUAGUGAGGCAUUUGAGCAUAAUACUGCUGUCAGGACAACUGCAAUAAUGCGUUGCAUAGUUUCAAGUUAUUUCCGAAAUGAUGCAGUGGACAAGCUGGCUAAUUUUGUGAAACGCGCAGAAAGUGCUGGCUGGAGACUUUGCCGGUCUCUUUAUCACUGCAAAAUGGUUAUGUACUCAUCACAAAGGCGCCUUGCUGAGAUGGAGAUGGUUCUGGAUGAGAUGCGCCAAGUGAAUGUCUACUUUUCAAAAAAAACGUUUUGGAUACUGUACAAGGCCUACUCACAAUGGGGUCAAAAGUGUAAACUAAAGCAGGUUUUAGGAAUGAUGUGCAAACACGGUCAUUCUAUUCCUUUGAAUACAUGCAGUUCAUAGUGCAUCCUUCAAUUCAACAGUUUCAGUGUGCUGAAAGAAUAAUUUUGGUAACUGUAUUCUGCAGCUUCCAGUUAGACAGUCGAUGUGCCUAAGACACACACCCAGAAGUUCACCAAAGAAAAUUCCUUGGUUCCCUAGGUCAGCAACUAGAAUUUUAGGUUUCACUCUAAUCUGAAGACUGAUUUACUAUAUACCAGCAUUUUAGUUUUUCUCCUUCUCUCUCUCUCUCUCUCUCUCUCUCUCUCUCUCUCUCUCUUACCUUUUUUCCUCUGUGAAAGUCUGGCCUUCACCUUUUACAUUCUAAUGCUCAUGACUUGACAAAUUAGUUUUCUCCAAGACCCAUGAUUUUGUGGUAAAGUGUUUGUGUAUAUCAGGUCUAGAGGUAACGGAUGUUGUUCAAUGUAGAAGGAACAAUUGGUAAUGUUGUAUGUGAAUACGUUGGAGUGUCGUGCUACAUCGGUGUAUAGAAAUGUUCUUCAACACAUCUGAAACAAGGGGCCGAUUUUGCCAAAACAAAGAUUGAGGGAUAUUGUCUAGGUUUAGUAUUUUCUACUAUAACAUUUGGAUUUAAAUUUUGCUGCCACUCCAAUGUCGUGUUUGGUGUCGGUGCCAUGAAAUGUGUCAGCAACGAGGUAACGAGAUUUGGUUGAUGACAGAGUUGUUUUGACUGAUGUUUAGUGCGCUUUUCUUUUACUGCAUCAGAAACAUCUGUGGAUUAGUGCAAUGCAUCUUCAUUUUACAGUAUAGCCUGUUUGAUGAGGUGCACAACAUAGAUGGAUGGUGAAGUUUCUAGAAUGUAGGACAAACUCUGGGCAGCAAACAGCUGAAUGACAUGUCAAAUUUUGGUUUUGCAUACUCCUGCAAGGUGGCAAUUAGCCAACUAUGGGGGCAGGAUGACAACCAUUCCCGAAGGUUCAUGGGCUGGAUUUGCCAAAUCUUUAAAUUUGAAAAAAAAAAUUGUAAGUUUCAGAUCACACGGUGUACAUCGCCAUGUAUUGGGGACACAAAUAGGUGUUCUAUGUUUAUAUGUUGUGUUCAAACAAAAGUGAUUGACAUUGUUGAACAAACAACUCACAAUUUGACAUUGCUGUCCCUGCCCUUGACCCCAAUUGCCCUUUCUUUUCUGUUGGAAGGUUGAUUUGCAAGGGAAGCUAAACUCAUGCAUUCUUACUUUUUGGGGACGUAUGAAUGAUUGUGUUUAUUUUGUCAUGCAUAAUUGACUCUGCAGUCUGAUUUUUAUCCGCCAUAUGAUGACUGCCUAUUUCAAAAUAAAAUAUAUGGAAUCACACCAUUGUACUUGCGACUAGGGUGACAAUCGGGUUGGCAGAUCGGGUUGAGAUCCUCGUAUAACAGAAAACUUGUACCUGACCAGCGCAACCCGAAACGAGUCAGGAUAUUUGAUCCGAAUCCAAAAAUUUCGAAUUUGCGGAUUGGCGGGUCGAUCCGAAAUGACUUGAAACUUAAUUUUAAUUUAUUAAUUUACCAAUGUAAUUUCUAAUAAAAUCAAUUUUGUACAAGACUAAUUACAUAAUCAAGUAAUAAAAAUUUAAAUAAAUAAUUCCAAAUCAAAUCUAAAAUAAAUUGAAAAACACCGUAAAAGUGUUUUAUCCCAAACUAAAUAUAAAAUAAAUUAAAACAGUAUAAAAGUAAAAAAUAAUAUAAUACAUUAUUUAUCCAAAUAUAAUAAUUUUAACUUCACACAAGUUAAAUAAAUUCAUUUAGAAUUAAGUGAUUAAUGCCUUUGGAAAAAAAAACAAUAACUUAAUUUAGUUAGAUAAAAUACUUUUUAUAUUUAUUAAAUUAUUUUUAAUUCGUAAACUGGUUAUCGGGCCACUCAUGAAUUGGCCCGAAUUCGAUCCGUUUUCUUUUCGAGUUCAUCGGGUUCGACCCGAUUCUGACCCCAACCCACGAAACCUCAAUCCAAGCUCAUUAAUUUGGUGUUAGGUUCGUGUCGUGUUUUCAGGUCACGUCGGAAAUUGCCAUCCCCUACUUGCGACAGCCGAUAUUUCUGCUGAAUUGUGUUGAAAUUGGCUUUGAUCGAGGCAUGUAUGGAUGGACAUUGGACAGUGACCUAUCUCACCAGAACCUUAAAAAAGAUUCGGCUGCUUGUAUCCAUAGUAUCGCCUGACAACAACAUUAAAAUGCUUAUAUGAUUAUUGCCACCAGCGUCUUGAUGCUGUCCGAACUCAAGAAGUCUGUCUGAACUCAGAAGUCUAUGGUUUGGGUCCGUUCUACUUGGAAGUCUAGUCUUCUACGGCGGGCGGGCGGGCUUUCGAAAGCACAACGGACGGGAUGCACCAUGUUUGUAUGCACAUUGUACAGGGGGAUAUGAGAAAGUGUGUAUUGUAUCGGGGAAAAUGUACGAGUUCCGUGGAUGAUGGGGGGUUGUCCCGCGUCCGUCUCCCUCAUGCGGUGUGUGGUCUGGUCUGGUCUGGUCUGGUGGGGUGAUCUCACGAAAUCGUACGUGCGUCUCUACUAAAAGUCCCUUCCUUGUCACUCUUGCCUGCCAAGCAAAGAGAAAAAAUGGCAUGAGAGUGAGUUUUUUUACCGCUUUGGUCGGUGUAAAAAUUCUGGUGGAUGCAGAGCCUGCAGCCUCAGUAGGCUCCAAAUCAAAAUCAUUUCGAAGGACCGAGUUCAAAAAAAGAUCAAAGGCCAAUUGGCAAUUUUGGCAGUUGCUUAAUCGGUGCAAACCGAACAAAACGUAGUGGAAGCAAGCAAAGAGGGAGAGUACCAAUAGAUGAAACUAGGAAAAAGGACAUGCUGGAUUUCUAGUUUUUUCUUCUGUCUUUAAAACAGAACAUAAAUACCAUGAGGUUGCAGUAGGCAACAGUAGUGGUUCCACAAGAGUAGCCGCCGCCGCCGCCACCACCAUUACGUCGUCCGUCGGACACAUAAUAAUAAUAAUAACACGUUUCGUUAUGAAAGUAAUAAUAAGGAGGAUCGGAUCUGGGCGGUGGUUGAAGCACAAGGACGCUGAUGGCAUCGAUCACUUUUCGCUUCGAAACCGGCAAAUGAAAUGGUAGACAUGCGUUGAGGAUUGGUCGGAUAUUAAAUGCCUCAACUCUCAACUGGACAUAUUACAUCCGACAUUACUAUAUAUAUAUUGUUUCUCAACUUUUGGACAAAAAAAUUUGUCGUCGAUUGAUUGCCAGUCUGAAUUGUACUGUACCACAAUAGUUUCGCAGGAGUAGUAAAUAUCAAGAGCUCGUUCGUUUUCACUUAUCAUCAUUUUUGAGGUUUUCAACUUUUCUUCUGAGCGUAGUGGCAUUGAUGUGAUGAUUGAAAUAGCGAUGCGCCAAAUUCACUGAUCGCCAUUGCUGAUAGAUAUGAUCCUACUACUUAAACAAUCAAGCUUCUGCUUUUAUUAUUAAAGAAAAAUUUUUUAACAGCUCAAAGACGACAACAAAAAACUACUAUUAUCAAAAAAAAAAAAGACAAGACUCAACAUGUCAGUCAACAGGAGCCUUCCUACUACUUACACUAUUUUUUUUUUUUUAAAAAAAAUACUACUAUUAUCAAAAAAAAGAAAUACUACUAAUAUAUAAAGAAAAACAUGUGAACAUAAAACUCAAGCCAAAAGCCUCAGCGGACAUCCCACUUAACAUAUACUAUAGUAAGUAGUCUAUAAAUUAUUGGCCUCUCACCCACCCAGAGCUACUGACAAACAAAUUAAACCAAAAAAAAAAAAAGGUUAAUUGUCUAUGGAUCGCUGGCGCUUAUUAAAAUUAAAAUUUUUGUUUUAAAAAAAAAAAGAGGCCAAUGCCAUUUCCAUUGAAAAUGACUUCAUCUUGUCGUGCUAAUAAAACCACAUUUGCAAACGCUAAACCAGCUGCUAAUCCACAAAACAACAGCCCCAUCAUACUUACAUUACGUGUCCGACGAGACGACAAAUAGUGCAGCUUAAUUGACCCACCAUUAAAUUAAUUUUAGAGUUUCUCUGUACUUUUAUGCCCUCAUCUGAGUUAAAUGCAGUGUAUUUUCACCCCAUUAUGCUAUGCGCUUGCUUUUAUCAUUUGCCGGAGCCAUUAAUUAUCCUCAUGCAACGAAACCCAACUGAAAUGAUUACGUUGGUGAGGGACAGACAGACAGACAGACAGACAAAAUGCACAACUAAGCGUAUACUCACUCCUCUUUUUUAUAACUGACGUAUAAGAAAUUGUACUUUUAUCUAUCGUUUUAUUAUUCCCAUACAAUAUUAAUUAUUUUUUCACAAUUUUAUCCUUUUAUCUCUCUUUUCUAAUACAGGGUUCUUAAUUACUACUCCUAGUAAUUAUUACUUCUCUCUUUGUAACAACCCUAGUAAUUAAUGAGAAUACAAAAGGAAAGUAGUGUACAGAUUUAAGUAAUGCAAAGCUUUUCUUAAUUGGUGUGCAAAACCUUAAACGUCAGUUAUAAAAAAAGAGGGAGGGGGUAGUUUUUUUUUUUUUUUUUUGGGAAAACAACAAAGACCUAAAAAGUCAAGAUAGGGUGGUAAGAUAAUUAAUUGUACUCUUCGUAACUUUGUGUGUCAUUUUUCAACCUUUAGGCCUUUUUUUUUUGUUCUUUUGAAAGCAACCUUUAGGCUUUUUUUUUCUUUUUUUUUUUUUUGAAAGCAACCUUUAGGCUUUAGUGCCAUUGAAACACUUACUGGCAUCAGAAAAGCAAUCCAAAAUAGAUAAAUAAAAUUAAAAAAUUGAAAUAAUAAUAAUAAAAGAUGAUAAAAGAAAAUGGAAGGGAUAGGUUGGGGAACUAAGGAGGCGCAAGAUCCGUCCAUUAGGUGUUGUUGUAUACUUGUAUCAUGUACGUGUGGUGAAUUUUCAUUAUAAAAGUGGUCCCGUCGGAGAGAGCGAGAGGGUUUAAAAAAGGGAAGAAAAAAAAAAAGUGUCCUAGCAAAAUUCCCAGCCACCAGUGGAGUGGGAAUGUGGGAUGAGAGCUUGCUUUCCUUCCAUCCAUCAAAAACAAAAGCUAAUUCCCGUCAUUUGCUAUUUAUCCCAAACUCCAAACCCACAUCUACGUCUGAAGACCAGAGCACCAACAAGAAGAACAAAGCAAUCGAGUGCUGACAAGGAGCUUUUAACCAGAACCAAUGUCCACGUUUGGGCGAGGUCCAUGAUUCCCACUCCUGUCCCUUUGAGCCAUAUUUGUAAGAUGUCCUUUUGGCUUUUGGUGGACGGGGUUUAGUCUUCUUAGCUUUCGGAUGACAACGGGAUUUUCAUCUCCAUUUAUGGUCCACCAUCUAUGAUCUAACCCAAAAAAAAAAAAAAAAAAUCCACCACCUGUCGCGCGUCCUUUCCUCCAUUUUCAAUUCUACCCAUCGGCGAUGACCCAUAAAUAUAUGCACACGCUUCACUUGGAAACAAAAAAUGACACACAAAGGACGACAUGCAGAAUCCCAACUGGUGAGUUUAUUUUCUUGCCAUGUUAGAAGGGCUCCUCUGCUCCCUUAAGAGACAGAUUAUACUGUGGAUCAGAGCUUAGAAUCAGUUGACAUAACUUGAGAAUUCAACUCACGGCCCAGAUCAAGCUUUUCCCAGUCACCUUUCAACUCGCUUCCCACUUCAGUAGCGUACAAACUUUUCCCUGCUAACCUUUUUUAACACUCAUGGUCGGAAAUGGGGCAGGGACGGUUGCAGGAGGGUUAAUGGCCAUGAUUUGGCCUCAAAAUUUUGUGUGAUUGAGAUUACAAGUUGUAACUCGAUUUUCGCGCUAUGUGUGGACCUCACAAAAAUUUACUCUAAAGUUACGCAAUGUGCAAAAAAAGUUACACGAUGUACAAAAAAAAUUACGUACAGUUGAUAAUGAUCAAAACUGCUGCAACCGUCCGUGCCCCGAGUCCCUCAUGGUCUGUCCAUCUAAUCGUAAGAGGAGAAAUAAAGAAGGUGCCGCUUGACGAGGAAAACAAUCAAAUAUAAUCAUCUGCAGCAGCCUUGCUCCCAAUCUAAGGGCGGUUCUCUCUUCAAAAGUACACGACGUUGUUAAGAAGAUCUCAAGUCUGAACGAUUGAUUGAUGCUUCCAUGGACAAAAAUCCCAUGCAACAUGCCAGUUCAAAAGAUUGCCCGAGCAAACAUCUGCAAAAUUCUCAUGUGCGCCCGAAUCCAAGUGAACGAAUGCAGGCAGUUCCGUGAAAAUUUUGAACAGAGCAAUAAAAAAUUUCCAAGGACUAAACGAUCCAAAACAGUUCAUGGUUGACUUCAAACAGCUUCAAUGCGAGUCAGGAUUAGUUAAAAGCACUAAUGAUCAUUAGCAAAAUUAGAAUUCUCACCGUGGAGACGAUUACUUACAAUUAAAGUCGACAUAGUAUAGACAUAGCCUGGGCUUCAUAGCAGUAAAUCCCGUAGAAGAGAGUAAACAAACAAAAUCUUAAUAUAUAUCUCUACCGAACAGUAUAUAACAUACAGGUUUACAGCCCCAUGAAUUUGCAAUCAUACUCUGAAAUUAGACUUUCUGCUAAUGGCGACGCGCUGAUGUCACCUGAGUGACCAGCAACCAUUAACCUGAGUCCUACAUCCUCCUCCUUCGUGGCCAGAGGUUUUAUAUGGAUGUGGUAAAGCUUGAGCCGAAGACCUUAUGCAAAUCCACAAUA